AAAGCAGCCCCACCUAGAAAGAUGAGCCAGUGAUUUGGGAGACCAAGAGGCAGGAAACCAUCCCACCUUCUCCAACCCAUCACCACAUCUGUUGCUGGAAGACACCAAGUAAAUCCCAGGGUCUUAAUGAGGCACCAUCAGGCCAGCCCUGUGGAGUGAUGGGGACACAGCUGGGUUUCCCUGAGCCACUCUAUUGGGGUGGGAGCAGGGGGACAGAAGAUGGUGAUACUGGCUCCUCUCACCCCUAGGUCUCUGAAGGUCCAGAUAGCACUGAUGGCAAACUUUGGGUCCGCACACUCUGGAAAGAAGAGAGAAGUAAAGGCUCUAGGGGGCAGCAGCCACCAGCAAACACCACUGCCUGCAGGAGCCUGGGCUGACUGGUUGAGACUCACCGAAGAUCCCUUCUUCCUGGGCGGUGGCCUGCAGGAACUGGAACAGCUGGUCUGUGUAGCCCGACUCUGCAGAAGAGAGAAGACCUAGACCUGGCACCCAGCACAGACACAGCCUGCCUCGAGGACUGCAAGGGAACAAGGGCCUCACCAGUAUUGGGCAGCUGGCCCUGGUGGAGGAAGGUGGCAGCCUGUGCAAAGGCCUUGAGCAGCGGGCUGGGCAGGCAGCAGAGGAAAAGAAAGAAAUCUGGGCAGUGUGACUGUUGGCUGAGCUGGAGGGGACAGGCCAGGGUGAGUGCAGCUCCCCACCGCCUCCCUACCACCUCCCUCCAGGGGCAGCUUUUUGAAACACACCCUGGAGUACUGGCCCUCAGUCUCUUCGAAGUCAUCACUGUCACUAUCAGUAAAAUCCCCACUCGGUUUCCACAGCAGCUUUCUGCUCAAUCGCCGUUGCCCUGUGUCA
RNAcentral lists this long non-coding RNA (852 nucleotides) under Pan troglodytes (chimpanzee). RNAcentral's name for it is "long non-coding RNA NONPTRT010604". The record is from RNAcentral. Lineage: Eukaryota; Metazoa; Chordata; Mammalia; Primates; Hominidae.